UACGUAGGGGGCAAGCGUUAUCCGGAUUUACUGGGAGUAAAGGGAGCGUAGACGGCGAUGCAAGUCUGAAGUGAAAGGCGGGGGCCCAACCCCCGGACUGCUUUGGAAACUGUAUGGCUGGAGUGCAGGAGAGGUAAGUGGAAUUCCUAGUGUAGCGGUGAAAUGCGUAGAUAUUAGGAGGAACACCAGUGGCGAAGGCGGCUUACUGGACUGUAACUGACGUUGAGGCUCGAAAGCGUGGGGAGCAAACAGG
RNAcentral lists this ribosomal RNA (253 nucleotides) under uncultured bacterium. RNAcentral's name for it is "partial 16S ribosomal RNA". It matches the Rfam family "Bacterial small subunit ribosomal RNA", at positions 524 to 776 of the family's 1533-position model. The record is from RNAcentral.